GAGCAUGCACCCAAGUCAGGAGGGGUGGGGGAGAGAGGGAAACAUAGCAUCUGAAGUAAGCUCCAGGCUCUGAGCUGUCAGCACAGAGUUGGAUGCAGGGCUUGAACCCACAAACCAUGAGAUCAUAACCUGAACCAAAGUCUGACGCUGAACCGACUGAGCCAACUAGGCGCCCCCCAUACAUCAUUUUUAAUCCUCCUGAACUAGACUGUUAAUGUGUUCCUUUUCCUUGUAGGUUCACUGUGUGGUACUCUCUUCCCAUCUUCCCUAAGGAUACCAUCGAAACAGUUUUAUUUCCGGCAAUGGAAAAAUGAGAUCAGCUCUGACUGCAAAAUUGCAAGAUUCAACUAAGAAAGAAAGAAAGAAAGAAAGAAAGAAAGAAAGAAAGAAAGAAAGAAAGAAAGAAAGAAAGAAAGAAAGAAAGAAAGAAAGAAAGAAAGAAAGAAAGAAAUGCAGGUUGAAGGAAUUAAUGCCAACAGAACAGUCAAGAUGAAGAAGGGUUACACAGUACUGUUUUGGUAACGACCAGAUACCAACAAACCAACUCCCUGGUAAUUCUUAGUUGCAAAUGGGAUGCCUUUGAAAUCAGCCACCCCACUAUGAAGGGGUCUGCUUCCCCCUGCUGGAAGCAUCCAAUAGCUACACGUACUCCAGAAAUUCACAAUGAAAUCAUCAACAAUGACAGUAAAAGCUAACGUUUUUUGUGUGUUCAAUAAAUGGAUUUGUAUAUGAAAAUGAUACUAAAUU
RNAcentral lists this long non-coding RNA (747 nucleotides) under Felis catus (domestic cat). RNAcentral describes it as "lncRNA (ENSFCAG00000047258.1)". Lineage: Eukaryota; Metazoa; Chordata; Mammalia; Carnivora; Felidae. The record is from RNAcentral.